Gallus gallus (chicken) is the source of this 4457-nucleotide long non-coding RNA. RefSeq lists it as uncharacterized. The record is from RefSeq and is a predicted model, not a curated record. The transcript is spliced from 3 exons. Lineage: Eukaryota; Metazoa; Chordata; Aves; Galliformes; Phasianidae.
ACCCUUUCAGAGAAGCAGUAUUUCAUAACGUCCAGCCUGAAUCUUCCCUGGUGCAGCUUGAAGCCAUUCCCUCUAGUCCUAUCUAGUCCUCUAAUGAGGUUCAACAAGGCCAAGUGUAUGGUGUUGCACUUGAGUGAGGGAAAAUCCCAGAUAUAUAUUGGGAGGUAUGUAAGAUGUGUGGCUGGGAGAACAAUAAAUUGAGAAAUGCCUUGCAGAGAAGGACUUGGGUGUCCUGGUGGACAAAAAACCGGAUAUGAGUCAGAAAUGUGCAUUUACAGCCAGGAAGAACAGCUGUAUCCUGGGCUACAUCAGAAGAGGGAUGGCGAUCAGGGCAAGGAAGGUGAUUGUCCUCCCCCACUCUGCCUUUGUGAGGGCCCACCUGGAGUACUACAUCAGUAUUUGGCAUCCCCAGCACAAGAAAGAUGUGGAGUUGUUGGACGAGGUCCAAGAGAGAGCCAUGGAGAUGACCAGAGGGCUCGUGCACUGUUCUUAUGAAGAGAGGUUGAAGGAAUGUGGCAUGUACAAUGUGGAGAGAAGAAGGCUUCAGAGGGCAGAAAUGAUUCAAAGGAUGCAAGCUUCAUUACAAGUUUAAAGAAAGUAGAAUUCUCUUCUUGGGAAAUGGGAGUAAGAUUGUAUGUGACAGACAGGAACAAACAAAAACAGAACUAAUAAUCAUAGAAUGAGCUGGAUUGAAAAGGACCACAGUGAUCAUUGAGUUUCAACCCCUCUGCUACGUGCAGGGUUGCCAACCACCAGACCAGGCUGCCCAGAGCCACAUCCAGCCUGGCCUUGAAUGCCUCCAGGGAUGAGGCAUCCACAGCCUCAUUGGGCAAGCUGUACCAGUGCAUCACUACCCUCUGCGUGAAAAACUUCCUCCUAAUAUCCAACCUAAACCUCCCCUAUCUUAGUUUAAAACCAUUCCCCCUUGUCCUAUCACUAUCUUCCCUUGCAAACACUUGUACCCCCUCUUUUUUAUACACUCCCGUCAGAUAUUGGAAGGAAUAACUUGCUUAAAAACUGAUAUCACAGCUUACCUUUUUGUCUGACACUGGGGCAGUUGAGAGCUAGGAACACUUGAAAAAUAGUGUGUCAACAGCUGAAGGUGAGGUAUGGCACACAAAAAAUGAGGACCCUACCAGUUACUGUAGUCUUCUUCCUUUAUCAGGAUUUGGACUAGUGUUAAUUACAGCUAGCCCUUGUGGGCUGUGUUUUCGUUGGCUAUUCUCUUUACAGUGGUAGUGGAAUUUUGAAACAAAACUCUGAAUGUUUCCACUUAGCAUGUAUUAGAUUAGCACACAUCAACUAGACUUAUUUCAAAGAAAAUGGCACCAGAAAUUCUGAUCCAAAUACACAUCAAAAAGUAAUGUAAACGUAAAACUAAAAUCAAGGAAGCUAUCCAGUGAAAUACAUGAAUUUCAGGGACCCUUGGGGACACUGAAUAUUUUGAAUUCACCAAAGCUGGGGCUGAGGGCUCUUGAAUAACUGUGAGUGUUGCAGCUCUAAGGCUCAUUAUAUAUAUACCUAUAUGUACUCUAAAAAUACCUAUAUGUACUCUUACAUAAAUACCUAAAUGUACUCUUACACAGGUGAUUCAGGUGCAAGAGAUGGCAGAAGAAAAUGGCUAAUGCAAAGGAGACCACAGAACUCCCUACCACUGGCUGUGCAUCUGUAAGCCCUUCUAAGCUGAUGUGCUAUGUAUUGUCUUUGGUACUGAAAUUUAUUUGUAUAAGUGCUUAGAACUGUGUACUUAAUUUCAUAUUAUUACUUAAUGUCUUUCUUUUUGUACAAGAAAUGUAAUUUUAGACAGACAACCAAUACAGAGCUCCAAGAUGGUUAACAUAUUUGUCAGGAUUAGAUGUUAAAGAUAGCUAACCUGUAGCCACUGUCAAAAUUUGUUAGAUAGAUAACCCUGACAGAUGUCUUUUACUUCAGAUUGAGUGCUUCUUUAAGCUAUCUAUUGAAUUUUAGUCCACUUUAAAGAGAAAUUCUGUCCUUGUUUGACUUUUGUGAAAAGAAGUCUCGUGAUAUCAAAAUCUACCAUACAUAGAGGUUUAAAGUGCAAAUGAAUAGGUCAUUGUGGUGGCUAUGUAUCAGAUAAACUCUUACAUAAUUCCACUUGCCAUAAUAAUGUUACUUUGCCUUGGCUGAGAUAUCUAAAACUAGUCCAUUAAGCUUAGAAGUGUUUUUACAUAUGCCAUGAUGAAUGAGGAUAGAAGUAUUACAAUUGCUUCAGGGCUUUUCAGAACUGCAAGGGAAAAUAAUUCUUUGCUGUAUGAAUAUUUCAUUAAAAAUCUUUGUUCCUGUGAGCUAGGUCCAUUGGCAAAAAACAAAUACAGAUAUUCUGCAGACAUGGCUAGGUUAUGCAGAGCGUUAGCAAAAGUACACUUGCAGUUGUUAUCAGCAUCGUGUCAACUUCACUGAAUGAAGGAGACACUCUGCAGAAUGGUGGUUUUUUUUUCAAUUUUCAGCAUAUAAGGUCAUUUUGUCCUUUGUUAAAACAAGGACAUAAACAAUAGAAGAGGUAUAAGAUAAAUUAGAUGAAAAAAAAAACCACAAGACUAGUUAAUGUACAAACGGAAAUACAGCAAAUUUGCCUGAUGCAAUUAACUCAAUUUUUUUUCCAUGUGUAAGAUUUAUUUUAUUUUUAAUGGGAAAUGACAUCCAAGACCCUGAGUCAAACACAGAUUGAAUACAGGCUGAAAUACAUUUGCUUUUACUUCUCUAUAACUGAGUAUAAAAAGCACCUAGAGUGCAUCUUUCAGCAUGCUAUGAAGAUGGGUAAAGUACAGUGGGACUAGAAGGUAGCUUUUGCAAUUUUUUAUUUUUUAUUUUUUUUAAGGAUAUUGGAUAUUUGUAGAAAUAGAAGUCACCCAAGCUAGCAUCACUGUUUUAUAUAGAAAAAUCAAAUAUUAACAACACAACCAUCCUUCCCUAGGGUCUUACAGGAUCUGUGGGAAACUUGAAGGAUCCAGAUGAGUCACCAUACAUAAAGGUUCUCUACUGCAAAACCAUUUAAGCAACUAUAAAAAAAAUAAAAAAAUAAAAAUCCCACCUCACACAGUGGAAAACAUUGAAGUCUGUGGGACAAGAAGGUCUGCUUAGACCCAUGGUCAAGUUCUAACAAUAUGUUUGUAGUAAUUAGAACAUAUUAAAAUGAAUUCCCCUCCGGUUCUCCCUCAGAAAUCCUCCAAGGAAUAAUUGAAGUCUUGCCAAAACAAAUUCCUAAAUUAUAACAGUCUCAGUUGGGCAAGCCCCUACAGAUAUUAUUUGAAUAGUGUUGAAGAAUCUUGCAAAUGAAAUGAAAAUGUGUUAGUACUUUAAAGCUUGUCAGGUUCAGAAAUCACUUCAGUUUCUCACUUGUUUUUUUCUCAGACAAACCCUUUAGACUCUGACACACUUUCUCAGCGUUACUUAUCUGCCCUGACACACUGAGUUUUGCAGACUUCUUUAAUUGACAGCUUUUUCUUAUUUAAUUAUUCUUUUUGUACAUAGGCCUUUCAUUUUGGCUUAUUCCUCUUCAGUAUAAUGAAUAUUUUCUUAUUUUCCAUUUGACUUUCCUGACAGCAUUGUACAGAACUUAAUUUUGAGACAACUGUAUGCCCAAAUUAAUACCUUCUAUGGCUGUUGAGUCAUGCAGGAUGGAAGUCUCAGGGGCUGUUGAUCAGUGCCCACCACCCCACUGUCACUGGCCUGGCUACUACUCUGUGAUCUGUGGAUGUCUGGUCUCCCCAUGGCCUCUAUCACAGGUGGCCUGGCUAAUCCAGUCCUUGUUCAGGUGUUGUCCGGAGAGCUCAUUAAGGUGCUUUCCAAGGCAAAACCUGUCAAUACAAGUCUUGCAUAUGCCUGAUGCGAAUAUAACUCACUUACAGGUCCUAUCCUACUCAGAUAAGAGAACUCUCAGUAGUGCUUACCCAAGGACUGGUUCACACCCACAGGGUGUCUUAUAAUACAUGCUUGGUGGUCUUGAUUCCCUGCUCUUCCUAACAGCAUCGUUUUACAUGGGGAAGGAGAGAAGACUGUUUCUAAGUUCUAAAUGAACUUCUUCCUUCCAUUUGUCCUUUCUUUUCAGGCUGAAUAUCUCUGCUUGUAAUCUUGCCCAUUACACCCAUAAAGAACUCCUCACAGCUGACUGCUGCCUGUUCCUUCUCUGUCUAUGCACUGCCAGUCUUAACAAAUACUGAAAAAUUUUGCUAGUCUCUUAGAAUGUUUCCAUUCUUUUUCCAAGAAGCUGGUAAUUAUUUUAGAUUGCAUUGCUAGAUUUUUUUCCUUUAAACUUAAUCUCAAACUCUGCCUGUCUGCUGCCCACAGCAAAUAUCAUUUCCUGUAUCAUUUUGGAAUGAUAUCUUAACUAAUGCCUCAUAAUAGUCACCUUCCAGAAACUCCCAUUUGUACUGAGUGACUAUUUUUCAGUAGAAAACUAACUGCUUUGUGGAAGCUUUCUUUCAGAAAUCAGUAUA